GAUGAACGCUGUCUACAGGCUUAACACAUGCAAGUCGAGGGGAAACGACGGGGAAGCUUGCUUCCCCGGGCGUCGACCGGCGCACGGGUGAGUAACGCGUAUCCAACCUGCCUCUGACUGAGGGAUAACCCGUCGAAAGUCGGCCUAAUACCUCAUGGCAUCGUCUGCGGGCAUCCAACGACGAUUAAAGAUUUCAUCGGUCAGGGAUGGGGAUGCGUCUGAUUAGCUUGUUGGCGGGGUAACGGCCCACCAAGGCUACGAUCAGUAGGGGUUCUGAGAGGAAGGUCCCCCACAGUGGAACUGAGACACGGUCCAAACUCCUACGGGAGGCAGCAGUGAGGAAUAUUGGUCAAUGGGCGGGAGCCUGAACCAGCCAAGUAGCGUGCAGGAUGACGGCCCUAUGGGUGGUAAACUGCUUUUAUGCGGGGAUAAAGUGAGGGACGUGUCCUUCAUUGCAGGUACCGCAUGAAUAAGGACCGGCUAAUUCCGUG
Molecule: ribosomal RNA, 491 nt
Filed under: uncultured bacterium
Lineage: Bacteria
Description: partial 16S ribosomal RNA
Rfam family: Bacterial small subunit ribosomal RNA
Source: RNAcentral